CCCUCACCCCAUUCCAAAAGAAAACAUUAGAAUAAAUAAAUACCACAUAAUCUGGUCCCAGGAGUGGCUGAGGGAGACUCUCCUCUUCUGAUAAGCUGCUAUAAAAACAGCUCUUCUUCUGUCUUUAGGAGACAACACUAACGUCUGUGGUUCUACAUCCAGCAGUAAAACACCAAAAUGGGUGACGGACAAAAAAUCACCCUGAUCCUCAUGUGCAUCAUUUUACUCGGCCAACUCUGCUGGACACAGGAAGUGAACAACGAUCUAAAUUAUAGAACUUCCACGUAUGGUCAGUUGUGCUAUGAUGCCUGCCAAUUGUAUGAAAAGGAAUACUACUGGUGUAACACUAAAAAGGGCUGGGAUUACUGCUCGUUAAAACCAAACACCGAUUAUAAAGGCAACGAGUGUAAAGAUGCCCAUCCCUGUGACCUGCAUGGUAAAGAUUACUACUGGUGCUAUACAAAGACUGGGGAGUUGGGUUACUGUGGAAAAGUGGAGCAGAGAACACUGCUGUAUAUAAGUUCGACUUAUCAGAGUGAGUGCAGGGAUGAGUGUUCCUAUGAUGAGUCAGAGUCAUACUACUGGUGCAACACAGAUAAAGGGUGGGACUACUGCUCUCCAUCACCUGAUGUCACGUACAAAAAUGAGUCGUGCCGAUCCAAUCAUUCCUGUGGUACCCAUGGCUAUGACUACUCAUGGUGCUGGACAGCCACAUGCUGGGGCUACUGUGGCAUUAUUGAGACCGGUAGGAAUUACAGAACCAUUGGACGUUGGAAAAGACAACCUAAUAAUAUAGUAGAGAUCUGUACUGAGACUGACCUUGGGAACAGAAAGGUGACCAAGAUUACUGCAGAGCCUAAUCCUAGAGCAAUAGCAGAUGGAAGCAACUGGAGGAACGAGAUAAUAAACAUAAUUUCAACCUGGACCAAUGGUUUUCUGCGCAAUCAGGCUGGGACCCUCACCACAACAGAAAAUCUUCGCAUUGACAACCAGGGGCUGGUGAACAGAAAUAAUCACCAUUACUAUAACCUCCAAAUUCAGGUGAACAUAAAUCGCCAAAAUAGAAGGAGCACUACAGUGGCCCAGGUGCUAAUUCCACAAAAUGAAGAUGUUCCAGAAAGAUACGUCCGUAGGGCUUUUACUGAGAGCUUCCGCCGACGUGCCAGGGUUUUUGUGGAUGUGAGCUACGGCAACAUUCCUGUUAGGCAUGGACAAAACUGUGGCUAAAGAUAAAGUACACUGUUGAUUUGCAGACAAUGAUUUAACUUUUGAACUUCUGCUUGCUGCCUGAAACUGAAGAACCACAGCAUGCUAUUACUUUUGAACAGAUCUGAUUUACUUUAGAUUUGAUUUUGCAGAAAUAUGUAGAUCCUGUUUAAUGACACCUAUAACCACAUCACUGAGGAAGUGACAUGAGAUGAUGAUCAGUUCACAGAUUCCACUGAAUCAAACAGGAACAUCUCAUGUUUUAGCUUCAAGCAACAGAGAAAUGUACUGAAUGAUUAUCUAUUAAUAAAUGUUUUUGUUGAUGUUGGCUACCUGCAAAAUGUUCAAAAUGUACAAUUUCUAUAUCAUUCUUUUGCAGUAAAACAAAAUAAUCUGCUACAGUUCUCCAGGUCCUAUGAUGGCCAUAGUUAUAGAGUUAGCAUUAGCCAGAUGUAACAAUGGAAAUUUUCUUUCAUAUAUCACUCCGCUGAUCAUUUAUCCUGGAUAUUCAUAAUCUGAUGUUUCACACUGUACAUACAUAAACCGAACAGAUACAAAUCCAAUAUCCAAUACAUACAUUUUUCAUUUUUUCUUUUCUUUUCAUCAUCACAAGGCAGGUUAGACGUGUGCUAUUAUUUACACAGAGUUAAUAAACACCCAGUUCUUGGAGAGUCGGUGUGGACUUACGGUAAAUAAGGUUUAACUUGAAUUUUUGCCAAUGAUUGAGGACAUAGCAGCUCUGGGGCUUUGAAAAUCAUCAUCUCUUCUCACAGCAGGUAAAAAUCCUCAACAAACUGCCCCCACACCCAAAACCUCCAACCCAUUCCAAAAGAAAACAUUAGAAUAAAUACCACAUAAUCUGGUCCCAGGAGUGGCUGAGGGAGACUCUCCUCUUCUGAUAAGCUGCUAUAAAAACAGCUCUUCUUCUGUCUUUAGGAGACAACACUAGCGUCUGUGGUUCUACAUCCAGCAGUAAAACACCAAAAUGAGUGAAGGAAUAAAAAACAGCCUGAUCCUCAUGUCCAUCAUUUUCCUCAGCCAACUCUACUGGACACAGGAAGAUGAAGACUUUCAAAAUCAUUACACUUCCAAUUAUAGGCAGUUGUGUUAUGAUGCUUGCCGCAAGCGUGGAAAGAAUUACUACUGGUGCAACACUGAAAAGGGCUGGGAUUAUUGCUCAUUAAAGGAGAACAUUGACUAUAAAGGCAACGAGUGUGAAGAUGCCCAUCCCUGUGACCUGCAUGGUAAGGAUUACUACUGGUGCUAUACAAAGACUGGGAGUUGGGGUUAUUGUGGAAAAAUGGAGCCCAAAAAAGUGAAACACAAACAUCUAUAUAAAGGUUCAUAUUAUCUGCGUGAGUGCAAGAGCAAGUGUUCCAAUGACAAUUCAGAGUCAUACUACAGGUGUUACACAGAUGAAGGGUGGGACUACUGCUCUCCAUCACCUGAUGUCACGUAUAAGAAUGAGCCGUGCCGAUCCGAUCACCCAUGUGCCACUCAUGACUAUGGCUACUCCUGGUGCAAGACAGACUCAGGCUGGGACUACUGUGGCAUUUUUGAGGACAUUGGAAUUUGCGCUACUGUCACGCGUCAGAAGAGAGAAUCUGUUCAUAUAGGUGAGAUCUGUUUUCUUGACCACUUUAACAGAAAGAUGACCAAGCUGAAGCCAAAGUGGGAUCCUGAAGCUAUAGCAGAUGGAAGAAAAUAUAUUAAAGAGAUGUCACACAUAAUUGCAAAAUGGAACAACAGUUACCUACAGGAGGACAGCAAGUCCAACGUCAUCAUUACAAAUAACCUUCGUCUUGAUCUACAGGGGUUGGUGCUAAGGGAUAAUUUGCCUUAUUAUGGCCUUCAAAUUGAGAUGAAAACGCAUCGUGACGAACACAAGAGUUCCACAGUUGCUGAGGUGUUCUUGCCACAGAAUGUCAUUCCAGAAAGACACGUCCAAAUGGCCAUUAUUGAGAGCUUCUGCAACCGUGCCAGGGUUUUUGUGACUUUGAGCACCAGUUCCGGUAGUGAGGAUAACUGUGUCUUAAUCCCAUCCGAAGAUGUUGAUUAAUGAACAUUGUGUCGUAAUGAAAAACUAAGCUGUUGAUUUGCAGUCAGUGAAAUUUGCUUAAGCAACAUUUAACAUUUAAGCUUCUGCUUGCUGCCUGAAGCUGAAGAACCACAGCAUGCUAUAACUUUUGAACAUAUUUGAUUUACUUUAGAUUUGAUUGUGUAGAAAUAUGUAGAUCCUGUUUAAUGACACCUAUAACCACAUCACUGAGAAAGUGGCAUGAGUUGAUGAUCAGUACACAGAUUCCACUGAAUCAAAGAGGAACAUCUCAUGUUUUAGCUUCAAGCAACAGAGAAAUGUACUGAAUGAUUAUUAUUAUGAAAAUCUUUGCUGAUGUUGGCUACCUGCAAAAAUAUUGUUCAAAAUGUUCAAUUUCUAUCAUUCUAUUUCAAUAAAACAAAACAAAACAUUC
RNA transcript from Tachysurus fulvidraco (yellow catfish), 3677 nucleotides. RefSeq lists it as uncharacterized. The record is from RefSeq and is a predicted model, not a curated record. NCBI's taxonomy places the organism in Eukaryota, Metazoa, Chordata, Actinopteri, Siluriformes, Bagridae. The transcript has 4 exons.